CGUAGCAAUACGGAUGCUGGCGACCGGCAAACGGGUGCGGAACACGUACAGAACCUUCCUUCGAGCGGGGAAUAGCCCGGAGAAAUCCGGAUUAAUACCCCAUAGUAUGGUGAAGAGGCAUCUCUUUACUAUUAAAGAUUUAUCACUUGAAGAUGGCUGUGCGGCUGAUUAGGUAGUUGGCGGGGUAACGGCCCACCAAGCCUGCGAUCAGUAACUGGUGUGAGAGCACGACCAGUCACACGGGCACUGAGACACGGGCCCGACUCCUACGGGAGGCAGCAGUAAGGAAUAUUGGUCAAUGGACGAAAGUCUGAACCAGCCAUGCCGCGUGGAGGAUGAAGGUCCUCUGGAUUGUAAACUUCUUUUAUAUGGGACGAAAAAAGACCUUUCCAGGUCGUCUGACGGUACCAUAUGAAUAAGCACCGGCUAACUCCGUGCCAGCAGCCGCGGUAAUACGGAGGGUGCAAGCGUUAUCCGGAUUCACUGGGUUUAAAGGGUGCGUAGGUGGGUUGAUAAGUCAGUGGUGAAAUCCCCGAGCUUAACUUGGGAACUGCCAUUGAUACUAUUGAUCUUGAAUACCGUGGAGGUCAGCGGAAUAUGUCAUGUAGCGGUGAAAUGCUUAGAUAUGACAUAGAACACCAAUUGCGAAGGCAGCUGGCUACGCGAAUAUUGACACUGAUGCACGAAAGCGUGGGGAUCAAACAGGAUUAGAUACCCUGGUAGUCCACGCCCUAAACUAUGGAUACUUGACAUCAGCGAUACACUGUUGGUGUCUGAGCGAAAGCAUUAAGUAUCCCACCUGGGAAGUACGAUCGCAAGAUUGAAACUCAAAGGAAUUGGCCGGGGGUCCGCACAAGCGGUGAAGCAUGUGGUUUAUUCGAUGAUACGCGAGGAACUU
Molecule: ribosomal RNA, 898 nt
Filed under: uncultured Flavobacteriia bacterium
Lineage: Bacteria; Pseudomonadati; Bacteroidota; Flavobacteriia
Description: bacterial SSU rRNA
Rfam family: Bacterial small subunit ribosomal RNA
Source: RNAcentral